UACAGAGGGUGCGAACGUUGUUCGGAAUUACUGGGCGUAAAGCGCGUGUAGGCGGCAAUGCAAGUCGGGCGUGAAAUCCCACGGCUCAACCGUGGAAGUGCACUCGAAACUGCAUAGCUAGAGUCCUGGAGAGGAAGGUGGAAUGCUUGGUGUAGAGGUGAAAUUCGUAGAUAUCAAGCGGAACACCGGUGGCGAAGGCGGCCUUCUGGACAGUGACUGACGCUGAGACGCGAAAGCGUGGGGAGCAAACAGG
This 253-nucleotide ribosomal RNA is filed under the name uncultured bacterium. Its description in RNAcentral is "partial 16S ribosomal RNA". It matches the Rfam family "Bacterial small subunit ribosomal RNA", at positions 524 to 776 of the family's 1533-position model. The record is from RNAcentral.